This 501-nucleotide ribosomal RNA is filed under the name uncultured Glomus. RNAcentral's name for it is "SSU rRNA". It matches the Rfam family "Eukaryotic small subunit ribosomal RNA", at positions 569 to 1075 of the family's 1831-position model. Lineage: Eukaryota; Fungi; Glomeromycota; Glomeromycetes; Glomerales; Glomeraceae. The record is from RNAcentral.
AGCAGCCGCGGUAAUUCCAGCUCCAAUAGCGUAUAUUAAAGUUGUUGCAGUUAAAAAGCUCGUAGUUGAAUUUCGGGAUCAUCAGGUCGGUCGUGCCUCCGGUAUGUACUGGUCUCGAUGGUUCCUCCUUCUUGUAGAACCGUAAUGCCAUUAAUUUGGUGUUGCGGGGAAACAGGACUGUUACUUUGAAAAAUUAGAGUGUUUAAAGCAGGCGAUCGCUUGAAUACAUCAGCAUGGAAUAAUGAAAUAGGACGUUCGAUCCUAUUUUGUUGGUUUCUAGGAUUGACGUAAUGAUUAAUAGGGAUAGUUGGGGGCAUUAGUAUUCAAUUGUCAGAGGUGAAAUUCUUGGAUUUAUUGAAGACUAACUACUGCGAAAGCAUUUGCCAAGGAUGUUUUCAUUAAUCAAGAACGAAAGUUAGGGGAUCGAAGACGAUCAGAUACCGUCGUAGUCUUAACCAUAAACUAUGCCGACUAGGGAUCGGAUGAUGUAAUUUUUAAUGA